This 240-nucleotide long non-coding RNA is filed under the name Homo sapiens (human). Its description in RNAcentral is "non-protein coding lnc-LACC1-5:1". Lineage: Eukaryota; Metazoa; Chordata; Mammalia; Primates; Hominidae. The record is from RNAcentral.
CCCUUCAGUCUCUCUUUGUCUCAGUUUCUCUGCUUUCCAUUCUUUCCUAGGCCACAAUGAGAUCUGAUAGACCUCAAUAUCUAUAAUUAUAAGCUGCUUUACAUUUCUCAGAGAUUCUGCAUUUUCAGCAGUCUCUCAGGUGACAAUGAGGUAGCAGGGGUCGGGGCAUGAUGGAGUAGGGGGGAUGUUUCAGGAUGAAACUGUUCCACCUCAGAUCAUCAGGCAUUAGUUAGAUUCCCA